This 253-nucleotide ribosomal RNA is filed under the name uncultured bacterium. RNAcentral's name for it is "partial 16S ribosomal RNA". It matches the Rfam family "Bacterial small subunit ribosomal RNA", at positions 524 to 776 of the family's 1533-position model. The record is from RNAcentral.
GACGAACCGUGCAAACGUUGUUCGGAAUCACUGGGCUUAAAGGGCGCGUAGGCGGGUUCGUAAGUCUGUGGUGAAAGCCCCCAGCUUAACUGGGGAAGUGCCAUGGAUACUGCGAGUCUUGAGGAGGGUAGGGGCAUCUGGAACACUGGGUGGAGCGGUGAAAUGCGUUGAUAUCCAGUGGAACUCCGGUGGCGAAGGCGAGGUGCUGGACCCUUUCUGACGCUGAGGCGCGAAAGCCAGGGGAGCAAACGGG